Molecule: long non-coding RNA, 500 nt
Filed under: Ficedula albicollis (Collared flycatcher)
Lineage: Eukaryota; Metazoa; Chordata; Aves; Passeriformes; Muscicapidae
Description: lncRNA (ENSFALG00000017752.2)
Source: RNAcentral
UAACUGUGGAAGCAGCAACAUUUCUGGAUGUUUGAUUUGUUAACUAUUUUCUAAAUUAAGAUUUUUUUUAUCUUUCAGGAACCAUGGAUGCAUUGGGAACUUAAUACCAUCUUAUUCAUUAGUGUGACUGGAAGAAAAAGGAGCAGAAUCUAAAUGUCUCCAAGCACAUCACUGAAAGAUUACAAAGGCUGUGGUGAAUGAACACAUGGAACUGCCCUCAGGAGAAAGGGAUCAAGACUGCACAUCAAACCUUAAGCAUUUCCCUACAGAAAAAUGAAGUCCUGGAUUAAACAGUAAACCUCAUUCCCAUACAUAAUAAAAUAGAGAUGCAGCAGAGCUUCUGGGCCUUUUAGAUCUUCCUCUAGCAAGUACCCUACUUUCAUGUGAAGGAUCACAUGAAGAAGAAAGGAAUUGAAACAAAAGGAACUGACAGGUGCAGUAACAAAAAGUGCACAAUAAAGGAGACAGACAGGCUGCUGAGGCUGUUAUUUUUUUUUUGA